UCGGGAAUAUUGCGCAAUGGAGGAAACUCUGACGCAGUGACGCCGCGCAUAGGAUGAAGGUUUUCGGAUUGUAAACUAUUGUCGUUAGGGAAGAUAAAAGACAGUACCUAAGGAGGAAGCUCCGGCUAACUACGUGCCAGCAGCCGCGGUAAUACGUAGGGAGCAAGCGUUAUCCGGAUUUAUUGGGUGUAAAGGGUGUGUAGACGGGAAAUUAAGUUAGUUGUGAAAUCCCUCGGCUUAACUGAGGAACUGCAACUAAAACUGGUUUUCUUGAGUGCAGGAGAGGAAAGAGGAAUUCCUAGUGUAGCGGUGAAAUGCGUAGAUAUUAGGAGGAACACCAGUGGCGAAGGCGUCUUUCUGGACUGUAACUGACGCUGAGGCUCGAAAGCGUGGGGAGCGAACAGG
RNAcentral lists this ribosomal RNA (405 nucleotides) under uncultured bacterium. RNAcentral's name for it is "bacterial SSU rRNA". It matches the Rfam family "Bacterial small subunit ribosomal RNA", at positions 355 to 776 of the family's 1533-position model. The record is from RNAcentral.